GCCCAGUUAGUUCAGUUGUCUUGAACGCCACACCCUACAGUUUUUUAAGACCAUGGAAACGCGGGUUCGUUUCCUGCACUGGGC
Molecule: non-coding RNA, 84 nt
Organism: Rhizophagus clarus
Lineage: Eukaryota; Fungi; Glomeromycota; Glomeromycetes; Glomerales; Glomeraceae
Source: the annotation of a GenBank genome assembly